This 2357-nucleotide ribosomal RNA is filed under the name Klebsiella variicola. RNAcentral's name for it is "partial 23S ribosomal RNA". It matches the Rfam family "Bacterial large subunit ribosomal RNA", at positions 590 to 2925 of the family's 2925-position model. RNAcentral also lists the same sequence under 1 other name. Lineage: Bacteria; Pseudomonadati; Pseudomonadota; Gammaproteobacteria; Enterobacterales; Enterobacteriaceae. The record is from RNAcentral.
GGUGUGACUGCGUACCUUUUGUAUAAUGGGUCAGCGACUUAUAUUCUGUAGCAAGGUUAACCGUAUAGGGGAGCCGCAGGGAAACCGAGUCUUAACUGGGCGUUAAGUUGCAGGGUAUAGACCCGAAACCCGGUGAUCUAGCCAUGGGCAGGUUGAAGGUUGGGUAACACUAACUGGAGGACCGAACCGACUAAUGUUGAAAAAUUAGCGGAUGACUUGUGGCUGGGGGUGAAAGGCCAAUCAAACCGGGAGAUAGCUGGUUCUCCCCGAAAGCUAUUUAGGUAGCGCCUCGUGAAUUCAUCUUCGGGGGUAGAGCACUGUUUCGGCUAGGGGGUCAUCCCGACUUACCAACCCGAUGCAAACUACGAAUACCGAAGAAUGUUAUCACGGGAGACACACGGCGGGUGCUAACGUCCGUCGUGAAGAGGGAAACAACCCAGACCGCCAGCUAAGGUCCCAAAGUCAUGGUUAAGUGGGAAACGAUGUGGGAAGGCACAGACAGCCAGGAUGUUGGCUUAGAAGCAGCCAUCAUUUAAAGAAAGCGUAAUAGCUCACUGGUCGAGUCGGCCUGCGCGGAAGAUGUAACGGGGCUAAACCAUGCACCGAAGCUGCGGCAGCGACACUAUGUGUUGUUGGGUAGGGGAGCGUUCUGUAAGCCUGCGAAGGUGGCCUGUGAGGGUUGCUGGAGGUAUCAGAAGUGCGAAUGCUGACAUAAGUAACGAUAAAGCGGGUGAAAAGCCCGCUCGCCGGAAGACCAAGGGUUCCUGUCCAACGUUAAUCGGGGCAGGGUGAGUCGACCCCUAAGGCGAGGCCGAAAGGCGUAGUCGAUGGGAAACAGGUUAAUAUUCCUGUACUUGGUGUUACUGCGAAGGGGGGACGGAGAAGGCUAUGUUAGCCGGGCGACGGUUGUCCCGGUUUAAGCAUGUAGGCGGAGGUUCCAGGUAAAUCCGGUACCUUUUAACGCUGAGGUGUGAUGACGAGGCACUACGGUGCUGAAGUAACAAAUGCCCUGCUUCCAGGAAAAGCCUCUAAGCAUCAGGUAACAUCAAAUCGUACCCCAAACCGACACAGGUGGUCAGGUAGAGAAUACCAAGGCGCUUGAGAGAACUCGGGUGAAGGAACUAGGCAAAAUGGUGCCGUAACUUCGGGAGAAGGCACGCUGGUGUGUAGGUGAAGUCCCUGCGGACGGAGCUGAGACCAGUCGAAGAUACCAGCUGGCUGCAACUGUUUAUUAAAAACACAGCACUGUGCAAACACGAAAGUGGACGUAUACGGUGUGACGCCUGCCCGGUGCCGGAAGGUUAAUUGAUGGGGUUAUCCGUAAGGAGAAGCUCUUGAUCGAAGCCCCGGUAAACGGCGGCCGUAACUAUAACGGUCCUAAGGUAGCGAAAUUCCUUGUCGGGUAAGUUCCGACCUGCACGAAUGGCGUAAUGAUGGCCAGGCUGUCUCCACCCGAGACUCAGUGAAAUUGAACUCGCUGUGAAGAUGCAGUGUACCCGCGGCAAGACGGAAAGACCCCGUGAACCUUUACUAUAGCUUGACACUGAACAUUGAGCCUUGAUGUGUAGGAUAGGUGGGAGGCUUUGAAGCGUGGACGCCAGUCUGCGUGGAGCCAACCUUGAAAUACCACCCUUUAAUGUUUGAUGUUCUAACGUUGGCCCCUUAUCGGGGUUGCGGACAGUGUCUGGUGGGUAGUUUGACUGGGGCGGUCUCCUCCCAAAGAGUAACGGAGGAGCACGAAGGUUAGCUAAUCCUGGUCGGACAUCAGGAGGUUAGUGCAAUGGCAUAAGCUAGCUUGACUGCGAGCGUGACGGCGCGAGCAGGUGCGAAAGCAGGUCAUAGUGAUCCGGUGGUUCUGAAUGGAAGGGCCAUCGCUCAACGGAUAAAAGGUACUCCGGGGAUAACAGGCUGAUACCGCCCAAGAGUUCAUAUCGACGGCGGUGUUUGGCACCUCGAUGUCGGCUCAUCACAUCCUGGGGCUGAAGUAGGUCCCAAGGGUAUGGCUGUUCGCCAUUUAAAGUGGUACGCGAGCUGGGUUUAGAACGUCGUGAGACAGUUCGGUCCCUAUCUGCCGUGGGCGCUGGAGAAUUGAGGGGGGCUGCUCCUAGUACGAGAGGACCGGAGUGGACGCAUCACUGGUGUUCGGGUUGUCAUGCCAAUGGCACUGCCCGGUAGCUAAAUGCGGAAGAGAUAAGUGCUGAAAGCAUCUAAGCACGAAACUUGCCCCGAGAUGAGUUCUCCCUGAGACUUUAAGUCUCCUGAAGGAACGUUGAAGACGACGACGUUGAUAGGCCGGGUGUGUAAGCGCAGCGAUGCGUUGAGCUAACCGGUACUAAUGAACCGUGAGGCUUAACCUU